RNAcentral lists this ribosomal RNA (254 nucleotides) under uncultured bacterium. RNAcentral's name for it is "partial 16S ribosomal RNA". It matches the Rfam family "Bacterial small subunit ribosomal RNA", at positions 524 to 776 of the family's 1533-position model. The record is from RNAcentral.
CACGUAGGGCGCAAGCGUUUGUCCGGAAUUAUUGGGCGUAAAGUGUGCGCAGGCGGCCGCGCAAGUCGAGUGUGAAAGCCCCGAGCUUAACUUGGGAAUUGCGCUCGAAACUACGUGGCUGGAGUGUGGCAGAGGAAGGUGGAAUUCCACGUGUAGCGGUGAAAUGCGUAGAGAUGUGGAGGAACACCGAUGGCGAAGGCAGCCUUCUGGGCCAACACUGACGCUCAUGCACGAAAGCGUGGGGAGCAAACAGG